CUCUCUCUCACGCCCUCAAUUAGUUUCUAACCCAUUUUUCUACUCUCAAAAGCAAAACUCAGCUCAACACCACCAACCAUGGGAGUUUCUUGCAUGCAAUUCACUCAUUAGUCUCCUCGGGUCAAUUAGAGCAAGGUAAGAAUUUGAGUCUCUCACUUCUCUUCUUUCUCAAUUCACACCAUUCACCCUCUCACCCAUAUGGGUUUCAUUCUCCAACCUCUUUGGUUUGUGGCUUGCAUGUACCUAUUUUGAUGUUCUUGGAGCUGUCAUGUUUGGUUAGAAGCUAGAGAAUUAGUGGGAACUUCAAGGACUUGAUGAAUUAAUGGAAGGAGCAGAUUUGGGAAAAAGAAAGGAAUAUGAUAGUUGCAAGCUUUUCAACAACAAUUAUCAGUUGCUAUCAUCUUCAAUUAAAAGAUAAACAGGUUGCUGAGCAGAGAGCUAUGGACUGGUCGAAGUGAAGUGGCAUUGGAUGUUACUGUCAUUGUUUAUCUGGAUAUUCUAUUAAGUCGUUGUAUAAGUUAGUGUUAUAACGUGUUUGUAUUGACUGGUUAUAUAUGGCUCUGAUGUAAGUUUUAAGUUACAUUAUGACAGGAAUGUUAUCAUUCAGUUUAGUCAAUACUUGUAUAAUGACAAGGCCUUUAUGUGUUAUGGGUAUAUACAACGAGUUUAAUUCAGUAA
Long non-coding RNA from Trifolium pratense (red clover), 678 nucleotides. RefSeq lists it as uncharacterized. The record is from RefSeq and is a predicted model, not a curated record. The transcript is spliced from 3 exons. Lineage: Eukaryota; Viridiplantae; Streptophyta; Magnoliopsida; Fabales; Fabaceae.